RNAcentral lists this ribosomal RNA (497 nucleotides) under uncultured bacterium. RNAcentral describes it as "partial 16S ribosomal RNA". It matches the Rfam family "Bacterial small subunit ribosomal RNA", at positions 28 to 507 of the family's 1533-position model. The record is from RNAcentral.
GAUGAACGCUGGCGGCGUGCCUAAUACAUGCAAGUCGAGCGAACAGACGAGGAGCUUGCUCCUCUGACGUUAGCGGCGGACGGGUGAGUAACACGUGGAUAACCUACCUAUAAGACUGGGAUAACUUCGGGAAACCGGAGCUAAUACCGGAAAAUAUAAUGAACCGCAUGGUUCAAUAGUGAAAGACGGUUUUGCUGUCACUUAUAGAUGGAUCCGCGCCGCAUUAGCUAGUUGGUAAGGUAACGGCUUACCAAGGCAACGAUGCGUAGCCGACCUGAGAGGGGGAUCGGCCACACUGGAACUGAGACACGGUCCAGACUCCUACGGGAGGCAGCAGUAGGGAAUCUUCCGCAAUGGGCGAAAGCCUGACGGAGCAACGCCGCGUGAGUGAUGAAGGUCUUCGGAUCGUAAAACUCUGUUAUUAGGGAAGAACAGAUGUGUAAGUAACUGUGCACGUCUUGACGGUACCUAAUCAGAAAGCCACGGCUAACUACGUG